This 531-nucleotide ribosomal RNA is filed under the name uncultured bacterium. RNAcentral describes it as "bacterial SSU rRNA". It matches the Rfam family "Bacterial small subunit ribosomal RNA", at positions 1 to 507 of the family's 1533-position model. The record is from RNAcentral.
CGGUAAGGUAGUUACGUAGUACGUAGUCGGACGUACGACGGACGACGCGUGGCGGCGUGGAUAGGCAUGCAAGUCGAACGGUAUCAGUCCUUUCGGGGGUGAAGAGUAGUGGCGAACUGGUGAGUAACACGUAGGUUAUCUACCCUCGAAGACGGGGACAAACCCAGGGAAACUUGGGCUAAUACCGGAUGUGAGCAACUUUUAGUUGUUUGAAAGGUGGCGUAAGCUGUCGCUUGGGGAUGAGCCUGCGUCCUAUUAGUUAGUUGGUGAGGUAACGGCUCACCUAGGCAAUGAUAGGUAGGCGGCCUUAACGGGUGGUCGCCCACACUGGGAUUGAGAUACGGCCCAGACUCCUACGGGAGGCAGCAGUCGAGAAUAGUCUACAAUGGUCGGAAGACUGAUAGUGCGACGCCGCGUGAACGAUGAAUCCCUUCGGGGUGUAAAGUUCUUUUAUAUGUGAGCAGUGCUUCUUAUAUUAACAGUAUGGGGAGAGAGAUAUUAGCAUAUGAAUAAGCAACGGCUAACUCCGUG